AAGUAUUAAAUGGCUGCGGUAUAUUGACCGUACAAAGGUAGCAUAAUCAUUAGUUUUUUAAUUGAAAGCUGGAAUGAAAGGUUGCAUGAAAAAAUGACUGUCUCUGUUUAAAUUUAUUUGAAUUUUAUUUUUAAGUAAAAAAGCUUAAAUUUUUCUAAAAGACGAGAAGACCCUAUAGAGUUUUAUAAAUUUGGUAUAAAGAUUUUUUAGUAUUAAAAUUAAUUUAUGCAUAAUUUAUUUGGUUGGGGUGAUUGAAAAAUUAGGUUAACUUUUUUUUAUUUAUUACAUUUAUUUAUGAGUAUUUGAUCCUUAUUUAAAGAUUAAAAGAUAAAAUUACCUUAGGGAUAACAGCGUUAUUUUUUUUGAGAGUUCAAAUCGAAAAAAAAGAUUGC
Molecule: ribosomal RNA, 392 nt
Filed under: Sitophilus zeamais (maize weevil)
Lineage: Eukaryota; Metazoa; Arthropoda; Insecta; Coleoptera; Curculionidae
Description: partial 16S ribosomal RNA
Source: RNAcentral